Molecule: ribosomal RNA, 263 nt
Filed under: uncultured bacterium
Lineage: Bacteria
Description: partial 16S ribosomal RNA
Rfam family: Bacterial small subunit ribosomal RNA
Source: RNAcentral
CUUAGUGGCGGACGGGUGAGUAACGCGUGGGCAACCUGCCCCGUGCCGGGGGAUACCGCCUGGAAACAGGCGCUAAUACCGCAUAAGCGCAUACAGCCGCAUGGCAGUAUGCGGAAAGCUCCGGCGGCACGGGAUGGGCCCGCGCCCGAUUAGCCAGUUGGCGGGGUAACGGCCCACCAAAGCGACGAUCGGUAGCCGGCCUGAGAGGUUGGCCGGCCACAUUGGGACUGAGAUACGGCCCAGACUCCUACGGGAGGCAGCAG